Molecule: transfer RNA, 74 nt
Filed under: Nanobdellota archaeon
Lineage: Archaea; Nanobdellati; Nanobdellota
Description: tRNA-Phe
Rfam family: tRNA
About the family: Transfer RNA (tRNA) molecules are approximately 80 nucleotides in length. Their secondary structure includes four short double-helical elements and three loops (D, anti-codon, and T loops).
Source: RNAcentral
GGGAGCGUAGCUUAACCUGGGAAAGCACUAGGCUGAAGACCUAGGCAUCGUGGGUUCAAAUCCCACCGCUCCCA